RNAcentral lists this long non-coding RNA (742 nucleotides) under Cricetulus griseus (Chinese hamster). RNAcentral describes it as "lncRNA (ENSCGRG00015033831.1)". Lineage: Eukaryota; Metazoa; Chordata; Mammalia; Rodentia; Cricetidae. The record is from RNAcentral.
AUUUGAUCCACCUGUCUCCAAUUCCUAAGCAUUAGCAUGGGAUCCCCAUUUCCUGUUUAUAUGACACUGGGGACCAAACCCAAAGCUUCCUGCACAUCAGGCAAAUACUCUACCAACAGCUGUAUUUCUAGCCCCUGUCUGUUUACUUUUAUUCUUGAGGUAGGGUCUUGUUGUGUAGUCCAGGCUGGCCUUGAACAUACAAUUCAGUGUUAGCUCUCUGAGUGUAAGCAUUAAAGAAGUCAUCUUCCCUUUCAUAAAAUGCAGGAUCUGGUUAAAUGUCCACUUGUGGCUGUCACCCUGUUGGUGCCUCAAGUACAGGGACUAACAGGGAAGCAAGGACUUCAGCCCAUGGACUUCAGUGUCUAUCAAACAACAGCAAAAUAAAAAAUGGAUACAGGGAGGCAUCCCAAGGAUAUCAGCCAGCCAUCAUAUAUCAAGCUGCAGUGAGACCAGAUACCUGCUCCUCUACCCCAGUGUUCUUCUUAAAGGAUGCCCAUGGAAGGACACUCUUGUGUUUGCUUAUGAGAUACAGAUGUUGGGAUUCAUCCAAGGGACCACGAUGAGGCACGGUAGAGCCCAUAUGAGGAUCUGCAGAGUUGAUGCAAGAGAUCUUGCAGUGAGUGACCUCUUGCUUUAGAGCCUGCCUGGCUCAGUUGCCAAAAUGUUCCAGCCUUGAGUGGGGCCUCUGUGUUGUGGUUGCCAGGGGUCUGUAUAGAUACAUAUGCAGGCAAGAUGCUUACAC